CGCGGGAUGGAGCAGCUAGGUAGCUCGUCGGGCUCAUAACCCGAAGGUCGUAGGUUCAAAUCCUGCUCCCGCAAUAUGGCUCGGUAGCUCAGUUGGUAGAGCAAUGGAUUGAAGCUCCAUGUGUCGGCGGUUCGAUUCCGUCUCGCGCCAUUUG
This 154-nucleotide transfer RNA is filed under the name Streptococcus salivarius SK126. Its description in RNAcentral is "tRNA-Phe". The stretch from base 1 to 74 matches the Rfam family "tRNA". Lineage: Bacteria; Bacillati; Bacillota; Bacilli; Lactobacillales; Streptococcaceae. The record is from RNAcentral.